AUUGAACGCUGGCGGCAGGCCUAACACAUGCAAGUCGAGCGGUAGCACAGAGAGCUUGCUCUCGGGUGACGAGCGGCGGACGGGUGAGUAAUGUCUGGGAAACUGCCUGAUGGAGGGGGAUAACUACUGGAAACGGUAGCUAAUACCGCAUAACGUCGCAAGACCAAAGUGGGGGACCUUCGGGCCUCAUGCCAUCAGAUGUGCCCAGAUGGGAUUAGCUAGUAGGUGGGGUAACGGCUCACCUAGGCGACGAUCCCUAGCUGGUCUGAGAGGAUGACCAGCCACACUGGAACUGAGACACGGUCCAGACUCCUACGGGAGGCAGCAGUGGGGAAUAUUGCACAAUGGGCGCAAGCCUGAUGCAGCCAUGCCGCGUGUGUGAAGAAGGCCUUCGGGUUGUAAAGCACUUUCAGCGGGGAGGAAGGCGGUGAGGUUAAUAACCUCAUCGAUUGACGUUACCCGCAGAAGAAGCACCGGCUAACUCCGUGCCAGCAGCCGCGGUAAUACGGAGGGUGCAAGCGUUAAUCGGAAUUACUGGGCGUAAAGCGCACGCAGGCGGUCUGUCAAGUCGGAUGUGAAAUCCCCGGGCUCAACCUGGGAACUGCAUUCGAAACUGGCAGGCUAGAGUUCUGUAGAAGGGGGUAGAAUUCCAGGUGUAGCGGUGAAAUGCGUAGAGAUCUGGAGGAAUACCGGUGGCGAAGGCGGCCCCCUGGACAAAGACUGACGCUCAGGUGCGAAAGCGUGGGGAGCAAACAGGAUUAGAUACCCUGGUAGUCCACGCCGUAAACGAUGUCGAUUUGGAGGUUGUGCCCUUGAGGCGUGGCUUCCGGAGCUAACGCGUUAAAUCGACCGCCUGGGGAGUACGGCCGCAAGGUUAAAACUCAAAUGAAUUGACGGGGGCCCGCACAAGCGGUGGAGCAUGUGGUUUAAUUCGAUGCAACGCGAAGAACCUUACCUGGUCUUGACAUCCACAGAACUUUCCAGAGAUGGAUUGGUGCCUUCGGGAACUGUGAGACAGGUGCUGCAUGGCUGUCGUCAGCUCGUGUUGUGAAAUGUUGGGUUAAGUCCCGCAACGAGCGCAACCCUUAUCCUUUGUUGCCAGCGGUCCGGCCGGGAACUCAAAGGAGACUGCCAGUGAUAAACUGGAGGAAGGUGGGGAUGACGUCAAGUCAUCAUGGCCCUUACGACCAGGGCUACACACGUGCUACAAUGGCAUAUACAAAGAGAAGCGACCUCGCGAGAGCAAGCGGACCUCAUAAAGUAUGUCGUAGUCCGGAUUGGAGUCUGCAACUCGACUCCAUGAAGUCGGAAUCGCUAGUAAUCGUAGAUCAGAAUGCUACGGUGAAUACGUUCCCGGGCCU
This 1361-nucleotide ribosomal RNA is filed under the name uncultured bacterium. Its description in RNAcentral is "bacterial SSU rRNA". It matches the Rfam family "Bacterial small subunit ribosomal RNA", at positions 28 to 1381 of the family's 1533-position model. The record is from RNAcentral.